RNAcentral lists this transfer RNA (538 nucleotides) under uncultured Prochlorococcus sp. RNAcentral's name for it is "partial 16S-23S ribosomal RNA intergenic spacer". The stretch from base 211 to 283 matches the Rfam family "tRNA". The record is from RNAcentral. Lineage: Bacteria; Bacillati; Cyanobacteriota; Cyanophyceae; Synechococcales; Prochlorococcaceae.
CAGGGAGACAACAAAAUGUUUAAUAUUAUUAUUUUGUCACCUUAGGUCGAUCGGUAUCUCACGUUCUUAAUUUAUUAAGAAUUUCAUUUCCUAAGUUUUUCUAGGUCACACCCAUUAUUUUCCUGGGCCAUUAGCUCAGGUGGUUAGAGCGCACCCCUGAUAAGGGUGAGGUCCCUGGUUCAAGUCCAGGAUGGCCCAUAUCUCUAUGUUGGGGGUAUAGCUCAGUUGGUAGAGCGCCUGCUUUGCAAGCAGGAUGUCAGCGGUUCGAGUCCGCUUACCUCCACUGAUUACCACCUCUACCAUAAUUUGUAGAAGGGAAUAUUUUGAGUUGUGAUCAAAUUCUGAACGAAUCUAGCUUCCUAAUGAAAUCAUUAAGAUGCUGGACUCAUUGAAUUAAUUUCAUUGUUUUCAGAGAACCUUGACAACUGCAUAGAUUAUUUUUAAAGACAAUAAGCAUCUUUAAUGAUGCAGAUUUAUUAUUUGUGCUAAUGCAUUAAUAACAAUUCUAUUAAGCUGAUGCUUCAAUUUUGAAGUUAUU